GUUCUGAAAUGGAAGAAGCUUCUUCCCAUGAGAAAGUUAACAAGUUCGUCAACAAAAUCAUGAGAUGCAACAUUACUAGUUCUGAACCCAAAACGGGCAGAUGCUUCGGUAAACAACCAAUGGCACUGGAUCAGACUGCUUGCCUUUUAAAAAAUAGAGAGUCUUCUUUCAGUGAAACAGUGAGGAAGACUCAAGACAUAAGUCUUUCCAAUUGUUGGAUUCGUAGAUGGUGUCAUGAUGGAGUUGUAUCUCGAACACAGAAUCGUGAAGCAGUGACACUUUGUGAGCCACGAAGUUCAAAAGCAACAUUUGAUGAACUUCAAAAGAAGCAGUUUCCUAGCAUAGGUGCUAUGGCUCUGAUGGGGAAGGCCCUGAACACUUUUCAACCAUGUGAAUUUAGGAAAGAGGGGUCAUAUAUUGUUUGGAAAACUUAGGGAUUCUGAGACGAUUCUACACAGAUUUUGCAGGGAACAAACAGCAAGCUAAGCAGUCCAUAGGAUCAUUCUGGCAAUCAUGAUAUUGGAAUUGCUUUUGAAAGGGGAAAUGCUUUGGUCAUCAGUAACAACAGAAUCAGUGGAUGUGGAAUUUUCUUUAGCGAGAAUGUUCCCUUGAACAACCCAGUAAUGAUUGUAUAUUGGUUGGACAAUGAAGCUGCGUAUAUGGAUUAACUUAGUGGCAGCAAACAAGGGAUGGUCUGGAACUGUUGCGUCAUCAUUUUCACUGAGCUGAAAAUGGAGGAAGGCCCUAUGAGAGAAGAUUCGUAGGACAAACUUCCCCUUCAGCGAUUUUUUUUGUAAUAUUCCUCACUUAUAUAUGUUUGAUUUCAUACCACUUGAACCUCCUUUUACCUUUUAUUUUUUAUUUUUAUAUCUCUGCAUGUGUAAUCCUCUUCCUAAUGAAGCAUGUCGUACAAUAGUUGGCCAAGCAUUUUAUAUUCCUAGAAGGGUAAUACUACUACAUCCACAAUCUCUUCUUACAAAUUUUCUCUCACAAUCCCAACGUGACAGCUUAUAAUUGGCCAGUCGUAAUAUAUCAGGUAAGACUUAUUGCGAGUUGACCAAUUACGAAUUGUCAUGUCGGAGUUGUGUAAGAAAGUUUGUGAGAAGAGGUUUUGGGUGUAGCAUUUUCUUUUCUAGUGUCCACUAUGCUGCAUUAAUUGAUUGAAGAUUAAAGAUCUAACCACAAGUUGUGGCAUAAAGUGUUUUAUGUUCUCAUCCA
Long non-coding RNA from Pistacia vera, 1218 nucleotides. RefSeq lists it as uncharacterized. The record is from RefSeq and is a predicted model, not a curated record. Lineage: Eukaryota; Viridiplantae; Streptophyta; Magnoliopsida; Sapindales; Anacardiaceae. The transcript is spliced from 2 exons.